UUGGAAAUGUCCUUACUUUAGUUUUUUUUCUUUUAUGGGGGAAGUGGCCUUGUUCUUAGUUUUAUAUAGAAUUGAGUUUUUUUGUUAUAGCUGAUGAGUACCGUGAGGUACUGGUGAAAUAUUUUGAAAUUUUAUUCUUUUUAUAGUAUGCUUGGUUUGCAGUACCUUUUGUAUCAGGGCUGAUUAAUUUUUUUUAAUUUAUUUUUUAUUCUCGAUUUUAUAUGAGCUGAUUAAUAAAUAUGGUUUUUGUGGCAAAAAGAUCAUUAAUUUUUAUCUGUAAAGAUAUUUUAUUCGUAUAUAAGGGUAUCUAGUUCUUCGUGAAUUAAAUUUAAUUUAUUUUCGCUUUUUAUUUAUUUUAUUGAUAAAAUAAAUAUAGUUGUGAAAGAAAAAUUGUGGGGGCCAAUCUCCAUUUUUUUCUAUAAUUUUUAUUGUUUUAUAUUUAGUAGGGUUAAAAUCAUCCAUCUUUAGAUUACGUUAUAGUUCACUAUGGUUAUUUUUGAUUUUGUUUGAUUUAGGGGAGUAGCGAAGUAUUUUAUUUAAUUAUUGAUUUUUAAAAAUAAUGAUUAGAUUAGUAUGAUUUAUUGUUUGUAUUUAUGUUUGGGUUAUUUUGGGUUAAGGAACUCGGCAAAUGUUUGCCCACCUGUUUAUCAAAAACAUGUCCUCUUUGAUUUUUUUUGAGGUCGUACCUGCCCAGUGAUUAAUUUUAACGGCCGCGGUAUAUUGACCGUGCAAAGGUAGCAUAAUCAUUAGCCUUUUAAUAGGAGGCUGGAAUGAAAGGUUUGAUGAGGCAAAGACUGUCUCAAUUCAAUUUUUUGAAUUUAGCUUUUAGGUCAAAAGGCCUAAAUGUUUUUGGAAGACGAGAAGACCCUAUAGAGCUUAAGAAUUGAUUUUAUUUAAUUAUUUUUUUUAUUAACUUUUUAAUUUAUUUAAUUUUUUGGUUGGGGUGACAGGGAAAUAUAAUUAACUUUUUUAUUUGUUCUACAUUGAUUUAUGUGUUUUAGAUCCAUUAUUAUUGAUUUAUAGAAAAAGUUACCUUAGGGAUAACAGCGUAAUCUUCCUCCAGAGUUCAAAUUUACAGGAAGGCUUGCGACCUCGAUGUUGGAUUAAGAUAAUUUUUGGGUGUAGAAGCCUAAUUAAUAGGUCUGUUCGACCUUUAAAUUCUUACAUGAUCUGAGUUCAGACCGGUUUAAGCCAGGUCGGUUUCUAUCUCCAAUUUUUUUGUAAUUUUUAGUACGAAAGGACCAUUAUUACAAGUAAUUCUUUGACUUUAUGAUUAUUAUU
Molecule: ribosomal RNA, 1281 nt
Filed under: Vestalis melania
Lineage: Eukaryota; Metazoa; Arthropoda; Insecta; Odonata; Calopterygidae
Description: 16S ribosomal RNA
Rfam family: Archaeal large subunit ribosomal RNA (bases 546-1281)
Source: RNAcentral